AACGAACGCUGGCGGCAUGCCUAACACAUGCAAGUCGAACGAAGCCUUCGGGCUUAGUGGCGCACGGGUGCGUAACGCGUGGGAAUCUGCCCUUGGGUACGGAAUAACAGUGAGAAAUUACUGCUAAUACCGUAUGAUGUCUUCGGACCAAAGAUUUAUCGCCCAAGGAUGAGCCCGCGUAGGAUUAGCUAGUUGGUGAGGUAAAGGCUCACCAAGGCUACGAUCCUUAGCUGGUCUGAGAGGAUGAUCAGCCACACUGGGACUGAGACACGGCCCAGACUCCUACGGGAGGCAGCAGUGGGGAAUAUUGGACAAUGGGCGAAAGCCUGAUCCAGCAAUGCCGCGUGAGUGAAGAAGGCCUUCGGGUUGUAAAGCUCUUUUACCCGGGAUGAUAAUGACCGUACCGGGAGAAUAAGCCCCGGCUAACUCCGUGCCAGCAGCCGCGGUAAUACGGAGGGGGCUAGCGUUGUUCGGAAUCACUGGGCGUAAAGCGUACGUAGGCGGCCAUUCAAGUCAGAGGUGAAAGCCCAGGGCUCAACCCUGGAACUGCCUUUGAAACUAGAUGGCUGG
RNAcentral lists this ribosomal RNA (570 nucleotides) under uncultured Pseudomonadota bacterium. RNAcentral describes it as "bacterial SSU rRNA". It matches the Rfam family "Bacterial small subunit ribosomal RNA", at positions 28 to 644 of the family's 1533-position model. The record is from RNAcentral. Lineage: Bacteria; Pseudomonadati; Pseudomonadota.